GAAUGCUUAAAGAUCUAAAAAGAAAAAAUGCAAAGGUGCGACUAGAAAUUGGAAGAAAACAAAAACGUUUGAUUGAAGUGAAAGAUGAAAUUAUCAAGAAACAACCAAGACUUAACCAGCUUCAGAAGGAAUGUUCAGAACUAGAGGAGAGGCAGAAAUCGAUGAAGAAUGCCACAACUUUCCUAGAAAACAUUGGGCAGCUGCAGGAGGAUUACAGGAAGUGCAGG
Molecule: long non-coding RNA, 227 nt
Organism: Nanorana parkeri
Lineage: Eukaryota; Metazoa; Chordata; Amphibia; Anura; Dicroglossidae
Exons: 3
Source: RefSeq, a predicted model, not a curated record